This 1005-nucleotide unclassified non-coding RNA is filed under the name Hevea brasiliensis (rubber tree). The record is from RNAcentral. Lineage: Eukaryota; Viridiplantae; Streptophyta; Magnoliopsida; Malpighiales; Euphorbiaceae.
AUUCAAGGUAUCCCUCAACAUGCUCCAGCCUCAAGAAGUCACCAUGCUUCUUAUCUUCUGCUUCAAUAGCUCUGUCAAGGAUACCACCUGCCGUAGCACUGUGACCUAUUACAAAGCGAAUUAUGAUUCCCUUCUCUUCCUCAAGCUUCUUUCUUUUAUCACCUUGGGGCAUCCAAGUAGCACGAACUGAAUCUCUUCGCUUUCGGCUGCUAAAAGCAGUAUUUAUGCCUACAACCAUUAAAUACUUUCUUUUUCCACUUGACUGAGCGAUUCUAAAAUUGUCUGACACUGGUGAACCAUUCAGUAUUGAUUCCUGUGCAGCCCUUGCAGCAGCUAACUCCAUUUCCAAAUUCGAUAUUGUUUUAUCUAGAGUUUGUAUAGCAUGAUGUGUCUUUGAAACUUCUCCCAUGAUGUCCUUGGAUUCAUGAUGCUUUACAUCCUUAGUUUCUGUAGCACAUCCCUCUGAAACUAGCUUUAACUUUUCAUCUUCAACCCUUGUUGUCCUUGAUAUACCUUUAACUUCAGGCACAGCCCACAUUCUGUCCGAGAAUAACAUCCCAGCACAGAAGCAACCAAUACAAAGCAGAAGACUCCAUUUCCUUGAAAUCACACUCUUUGCAGAUGUAUCUACUCCUCUAUUCCUCCAAGUCAUCAUGGUAACUUGCACUUUGAGACAAAUCACAAGCUAAAACGAAACAAAACCCAUCUCAAUCCCAAGUCAAUGCACUGAAUUGACUCCGACCCAGAUCCAAAAGAACCCUUCUUUACUUCAAAAUCAACGCCAACUUAGUCCCCAGAAACCUCUAUGUGCACAAAUUUAAAGCAACAGAAGAUAGCAAAGAGAAAUAUAAAAAGAGCAAGAAUCAACAACUGCUAAAUUCACACACGCUACACAGGCAAAGAGACAAGCAAACACGCACAUCCAGAUGUAUAUAAAGACUAAUGCUUUUUAUCUAAAACAUCUGUCUCUCACAAGAAAGCGAAGGCUUUGCCACUUGGAUUUUG